Molecule: non-coding RNA, 107 nt
Filed under: unclassified sequences
Description: cow-rumen-2 RNA
Rfam family: cow-rumen-2 RNA
About the family: cow rumen metagenome.
Source: Rfam by way of RNAcentral
AUCGAAGCAGAAGAGUAGCGUCUUCUGCACACAGCCGCCAUUAGCGCCUGAAGAUGUAGCUGGAAUACAGGAUGACCGAUCCAUAAGCUUCAGGGUGAGUCUACUCU